Molecule: long non-coding RNA, 1621 nt
Organism: Homo sapiens (human)
Lineage: Eukaryota; Metazoa; Chordata; Mammalia; Primates; Hominidae
Gene: STX17-DT
Product: STX17 divergent transcript
Source: Ensembl
UUCUCUCUCCUCACCACGCGGCUGCUGCUGGAGGAUGGAGGAGGGGUGGUGUCAGCAAUUCAAGACUGUCUUUCCUACCCUCUUCAGUGCCCUUCCUUGAUAAGCUGUUUAAACCAGAACCGACUGUUUCUGGAAAAGCUGACAGCUCAACUGAAGUCCCAGCCACAGCCAGCAUCAACUGCAAAGACACCUCCAGAUGACUGCAACCCCAGCCAUCAAGUCAUUCCCAGCCUUCAAGCCUUCCCAGCUGAGGCCCAGACAUCAGAGAAGGUAAACAAGCCACCUCUGCUGUGCUCUGUUCACAUUCCUGAUCCACAGAAACCAUGAGGACAAUAAGAUUGUUGUUUUAUGCCACUAAGUUUUUAGAGUGGUUUGUUACAUAGCAAGAACAAUAGAAAUGGUAUCAUAUUUAGUAUGUUCCUCACAAAUUGUGAGCAAGUAUCCCAAGAUGGGUGCAGAGCCCAACUUCCUUCUAGUUCAUAUGUAAGUUUCUUGUCAUCCUGAGGCAUUUUUUGAAUAAAAAAAUUAAUUCAAGAUGGAUUAAAGACUUAAAUGUUAGACCUAAAACCAUAAAAACCCUAGAAGAAAACCUAGGCAAUACCAUUCAGGACAUAGGCACGGGCAAGGACUUCAUGUCUGAAACACCAAAAGCAAUGGCAACAAAAGCCAAAAUAGACAAAUGGGAUCUAAUUAAACUAAAGAGCUUCUGCACACCAAAAGAAACUAUCAUCAGAGUGAACAGGCCACCUACAGAAUGGGAGAAAAUUUUUGCAAACUACUUAUCUGACAAAGGGCUAAUAUCCAGAAUCUACAAAGAACUCAAACAAAUUUACAAGAAAAAAACGAACAACCCCAUCAAAAAGUGGGUGAAGGAUAUGAACAGACACUUCUCAAAAGAAGACAUUUAUGCAGGCAACAGGCACAUGAAAAAAUGCUCAUCGUCACUGGCCAUCAGAGAAAUGCAAAUCAAAACCACAGUGAGAUACCAUCUCACACCAGUUAGAAUGGCGAUCAUUAAAAAGUCAGGAAACAACAGGUGCUGGAGAGGUUGUGGAGAAAUAGGAACACUUUUACACUGUUGGUGGGCGUGUAAACUAGUUCAACCAUUGUGGAAGACAGUGUGGCGAUUCCUCAAGGAUCUAGAACUGGAAAUACCAUUUGACCCAGCCAUCCCAUUACUGGGUAUAUACCCAAAGGAUUAUAAAUCAUGCUGCUAUAAAGACACAUGCACACGUAUGUUUAUUGUGGCACUAUUCACAAUAGCAAAGACUUGGAACCAACCCAAAUGUCCAUCAAUGAUAGACUGGAUUAAGAAAAUGUGGCACAUAUACACCAUGGAAUACUAUGCAGCCAUAAAAAAUGAUGAGUUCAUGUCCUUUGUAGGGACAUGGAUGAAGCUGGAAACCAUCAUUCUCAGCAAACUUUCGCAAGGACAAAAAACCAAACACCGCAUGUUCUCACUUAUAGGUGGGAAUUGAACAAUGAGAACACUUGGGCACAGGAAGGGGAACAUCACACACCGGGGCCUGUCGUGAGGUGGGGGAAGGGGGGAGGGGUAGCAUUAGGAGAUAUACCUACUGUAAAUGACGAGUUAAUGGGUGCAGCACACCAACAUGGCACA